UCUAGUGAAGUACCUCGCAGAGGAGCAAAAGGUGCUUUUAAUAAAUGAAGAAGAUGCCUUAGCAGAGCUGCCAAGCACCCUGUGUAUCAUAGUUAUGGAUGAAGGAAGAUACAAGAUGUCAGUGGAUGAAGUCACAGUUAACAUCAUCGGCUGUCCACUAGUUGCUGUGAGCUAUAUGUUCAGCCUAUAUUAUAUGCUGAAUAUAAAGUAUCCAAAGGGAGCAGCCCUGACUCUGGAGUUCAUCCAGAGGUAAGUUUUGGCCAUAUCUUUUGUCCGUUUUAUAGUAUUAUUUAUUUUGCAAUGUCAAGUGACAUG
Long non-coding RNA from Sander lucioperca (pikeperch), 315 nucleotides. RefSeq lists it as uncharacterized. NCBI's taxonomy places the organism in Eukaryota, Metazoa, Chordata, Actinopteri, Perciformes, Percidae. The transcript is spliced from 3 exons. The record is from RefSeq and is a predicted model, not a curated record.